This 373-nucleotide transfer-messenger RNA is filed under the name chicken gut metagenome. It matches the Rfam family "transfer-messenger RNA". Rfam says of the family: Bacterial tmRNA, also known as 10Sa RNA or SsrA, is named for its dual tRNA and mRNA-like properties. Its role is to liberate the mRNA from a stalled ribosome. The record is from RNAcentral.
GGGGGUGCAAUGGUUUCGACAGGGAUUCCGAGGUAUGAUAAGCGGGUAGAGCCGGACAAUCUCUAUAAAGGUCCAACUUUUAAAUAAUAAACGACAACAAUCAAGUUGCAAUGGCUGCCUAAGGGCAGUGCCGCGGUCUCAUACUGACCGCCCGUUCCUCCCGGAAGGACCACGAGCCGGGACUGAGCGUCAUGAGAGUGGUGAACAUGCAUCGGCAGUUUGCCGUUGUACCGGUCAUGGAAAAAACGGCUGCCCGGUCUUUAAGCCUGUUUGCCGGCGUUCUGACCGAUAAGCUUUAAUAGACAAUCUGCACCCGGAGAAAGUUAUAUCAAGGGAUUUUUGGACAGGGGUUCGAUUCCCCUCACCUCCACCA